GAGAACAAAGGAAGGAGGAAGUAACUGGUGGAAUGCUGAGAAAGCAUUUCAGUGUGCGGCAUCAUCAUGCAAGCUCUGUAAGAGGAGAGUAAGAUCAGUACUCCUACUUGUAAAUGAAAGAGAAGAAAACAAAAACAAGCAAAUUCCUUCUAAGGUGUGAGGAACACGAGUAAACAGAGAAAUCACCUAAGGAGAAAACAGGAAGCAGAUUUGAAACUGUGGCCACCAACGACACGAGGGAGCGCAAAACCCAGCCCACUUGCCAGGGAGGCUGGCAGAGCCCACACCCAGUCUGGUGCCCUGGUCGGUUACAUUCUGCUCUCCCUGCAGCAUUUUUAGAAGGUACCAAAUAAGAAAAACGUGGAUGAAGAUGGAGAAAGCAUACAAAACUUUUACACACUGGUUUGAAGCUGUCACCGCGCGGAACAUAAAGAACAGGCCAAGACCAGUGCAGGCAUCGACGACUUUCUCCAUUCAGAGCCUCCGCG
RNAcentral lists this long non-coding RNA (488 nucleotides) under Homo sapiens (human). RNAcentral's name for it is "HSALNT0355636". The record is from RNAcentral. Lineage: Eukaryota; Metazoa; Chordata; Mammalia; Primates; Hominidae.